UNGUAAGGACGAACUAGGCCCAUUCCUGU
This 29-nucleotide non-coding RNA is filed under the name Rattus norvegicus (Norway rat). The record is from RNAcentral. Lineage: Eukaryota; Metazoa; Chordata; Mammalia; Rodentia; Muridae.